This 322-nucleotide ribosomal RNA is filed under the name uncultured bacterium. Its description in RNAcentral is "bacterial SSU rRNA". It matches the Rfam family "Bacterial small subunit ribosomal RNA", at positions 18 to 344 of the family's 1533-position model. The record is from RNAcentral.
CAUGGCUCAGGACGAACGCUGGCGGCGUGCUUAACACAUGCAAGUCGAGCGGUAAGGCCUUUCGGGGUACACGAGCGGCGAACGGGUGAGUAACACGUGGGUGAUCUGCCCUGCACUUCGGGAUAAGCCUGGGAAACUGGGUCUAAUACCGGAUAUGACCUCCUAUCGCAUGGUGGGUGGUGGAAAGAUUUAUCGGUGCAGGAUGGGCCCGCGGCCUAUCAGCUUGUUGGUGGGGUAAUGGCCUACCAAGGCGACGACGGGUAGCCGACCUGAGAGGGUGACCGGCCACACUGGGACUGAGACACGGCCCAGACUCCUACGG